This 274-nucleotide ribosomal RNA is filed under the name uncultured bacterium. Its description in RNAcentral is "partial 16S ribosomal RNA". It matches the Rfam family "Archaeal small subunit ribosomal RNA", at positions 473 to 747 of the family's 1478-position model. The record is from RNAcentral.
AAACCAGCACCUCAAGUGGUCAGGAUGAUUAUUGGGCCUAAAGCAUCCGUAGCCGGCUCAGUAAGUUUUCGGUUAAAUCUGUACGCUCAACGUACAGGCUGCCGGGAAUACUGCAGAGCUAGGGAGUGGGAGAGGUAGACGGUACUCGGAAGGAAGUGGUAAAAUGCUUUGAUUUUUCGAUGACCACCUGUGGCGAAGGCGGUCUACCAGAACACGUCCGACGGUGAGGGAUGAAAGCUGGGGGAGCAAACCGGAUUAGAAACCCCAGUAGUCC